CCUACGGGUGGCAGCAGUGGGGAAUUUUGGGCAAUGGAGGCAACUCUGACCCAGCAACGCCGCGUGAGUGAUGAAGGUCUUCGGAUUGUAAAACUCUUUAAGUGGGGACGAAGGAAGUGACUGUACCCACAGAAUAAGCCUCGGCUAACUACGUGCCAGCAGCCGCGGUAAUACGUAGGCGGCAAGCGUUUUCCGGCAUGACUGGGCGUAAAGGGUGCGUAGGGGGGUUGAUAAGUUAGUAGCGUAAUUCCGGGGCACAACUUCGGGACUACUAUUAAAACUGUUGAGCUUGAGUGCAGGAGGGGAGAAUGGAAUUCCAAGUGUAGCGGUGAAAUGCGUAGAUAUAUGGAGGAACACCGGCGGCGAAAGCGAUUCUCUGGAUUGUAACUGACGCUGAGGCACGAAAGCGUGGGGAGCAAACAGGAUUAGAUACCCCAGUAGUC
This 443-nucleotide ribosomal RNA is filed under the name uncultured bacterium. RNAcentral's name for it is "partial 16S ribosomal RNA". It matches the Rfam family "Bacterial small subunit ribosomal RNA", at positions 338 to 795 of the family's 1533-position model. The record is from RNAcentral.